Molecule: ribosomal RNA, 512 nt
Filed under: Platycerus feminatus
Lineage: Eukaryota; Metazoa; Arthropoda; Insecta; Coleoptera; Lucanidae
Description: partial 16S ribosomal RNA
Rfam family: Archaeal large subunit ribosomal RNA (bases 134-319)
Source: RNAcentral
UUUUAUUAUUAGUUUAGAUUUAUUAAUCUUUAAAUGAUUUAUUAAUAUGCUGUAUUGAAUAUAUAUUUAUAGGUAAUUAUGAUUAAAUUAGUAUAAUUUUUUGUAAGGUUAAUUAAACUUUUAAGCUAAAAUUAAGGAAUUCGGCAAAUUUGUUUUCUGCCUGUUUAUUAAAAACAUGUCUUUUAGUAAUUAUUUGAAGUCGGGCCUGCCCUAUGAUUAUUUAAAUGGCCGCGGUAUUUUGACCGUGCAAAGGUAGCAUAAUAAUUAGUUUCUUAAUUGGAAGCUGGUAUGAAUGGUUUGACAAGAAAAUUUCUGUCUCUUUUUUAUUAUUAGAAUUUAACUUUUGAGUCAAAAGGCUUAAAUAUUUUUAAAAGACGAGAAGACCCUAUAGAAUUUUAUAUUUAAAUUGAUUAAAAUUUUAUGGAUUAUUUAUUUUUAAUUAAUUAAAUUAUUUUGUUGGGGUGACGGAAAAACUUAAAUAACUUUUUCUUAUUAUAUUCAUUAAUUUAUGA